GACAUAAGUAACGAUAAAGCGGGUGAAAAGCCCGCUCGCCGGAAGACCAAGGGUUCCUGUCCAACGUUAAUCGGGGCAGGGUGAGUCGACCCCUAAGGCGAGGCCGAAAGGCGUAGUCGAUGGGAAACAGGUUAAUAUUCCUGUACUUGGUGUUACUGCGAAGGGGGGACGGAGAAGGCUAUGUUAGCCGGGCGACGGUUGUCCCGGUUUAAGCAUGUAGGCUGGUUGUCCAGGCAAAUCCGGAUAAUCAAGGCUGAGGUGUGAUGACGAGGCACUACGGUGCUGAAGUAACAAAUGCCCUGCUUCCAGGAAACGCCUCUAAGCAUCAGGUAACAUUAAAUCGUACCCCAAACCGACACAGGCGGUCAGGUAGAGAAUACCAAGGCGCUUGCGAGAACUCGGGUGAAGGAACUAGGCAAAAUGGUGCCGUAACUUCGGGAGAAGGCACGCUGGUGUGUAGGUGAAGCCCAUGCGGGUGGAGCUGAGACCAGGCGCAGAUA
RNAcentral lists this ribosomal RNA (500 nucleotides) under Staphylococcus aureus. RNAcentral describes it as "bacterial LSU rRNA". It matches the Rfam family "Bacterial large subunit ribosomal RNA", at positions 1299 to 1785 of the family's 2925-position model. Lineage: Bacteria; Bacillati; Bacillota; Bacilli; Caryophanales; Staphylococcaceae. The record is from RNAcentral.